UGCAUUCACUACUGUAAGUCGCUCUGGAUAAGAGUGUAUGCUAAAUGUAUGUAU
Salmo salar (Atlantic salmon) is the source of this 54-nucleotide non-coding RNA. NCBI's taxonomy places the organism in Eukaryota, Metazoa, Chordata, Actinopteri, Salmoniformes, Salmonidae. The record is from Rfam.